Molecule: long non-coding RNA, 1751 nt
Filed under: Sinocyclocheilus grahami
Lineage: Eukaryota; Metazoa; Chordata; Actinopteri; Cypriniformes; Cyprinidae
Description: lncRNA (ENSSGRG00000021458.1)
Source: RNAcentral
UGGUAUUUUAGUGGAAACUGGGAUGAAUUUCAUAAUGGAAAGUUUUUUCUUAGCAAAAUUAAAUGCUCAAAUAAUAAAUAAAAAUAAAUCAAUAAAAUAGCAGCUCAAAUGAUGAAUCAAUUUAUUUUCAUUAUUUGAUGAAUUAAUGAGGUGGGCGUGGUCGUCGCGUAGCUUCAGCCUGUCAAUCACUGAGAGAGCGCGCGUGUGUGUCGUCUCCCCUCAGACAGUUUUACUUCAGAUUUGUUAGUAAUGUCCAGUUUUAACUGCAAAACUGACCGGUUUAACUCUGUUGUCUUGUAUUAACUGUAAAUGAUUUUUAAUUACUCUAUCGCUCGUCAUUUUAACAGAACCGAUAUUUCACGAUAUAUUCAGCGCGAUCGCUUAAGUAUCGAAUUGACCGGCCACAUCAAAACCAGACCAUUGUCAAAUUGUACACAAUUCCGUUUAACUGAGGGAGAAAAAUGUGAAACUGCACUCCUAUCGCGUGAAGAUUAUUCCACAACAAGAUGUAGUUGAUAUCUUGUAAAUUCUUAGAUUUUUAGUUUCUUUUUUAAGCUCCUUUGAUGUGAUUUCAACAUGAAUUCCUGUGGUCAGACCCAACAAAGUGCCAGUUUCUUGACUGUCGGGUAUAAAGGUAUUGAUUACAUCUCUGAGGCCUCAGUCAGACACAGAAUGAUGAUUGGCUUGUUAGAACUUCCAGUUCCGUUCCAGCUGGUCAGUAACAUCUACCCACACAAUGGACACCUGCAGGACAACGCUUAUAGAGUACCAUGGAAGAACAAAACAUCAGUUUGUACUCUAGAAGUGACUGGGUCUGCAAUGGAUGAUUUGAAGGCCAGCACACGUUUCAGUGACUGUUUGGAGAGGUUUAAUGCGUUGCAGAUAGGAAGAGGUCAAGAGGAAGUGGUUCCCAGCUCUAACCCUGCCUCUCAGUGCAGUAUUUCUACCACAGAAGCCCUCUGGCUCCUAGAUGGAGUUGAGAGCAGUACCACCAGACCACCUUGGGAAGAGAGUUUUAGUCCAUGUUCACCAGAUACAUGCUGUGAUGAUCUUUCUCUGCCAGAGGAGGUGAUAUUCAGUGACCAUCUGCAGCAGUUCAAAAGCCACCUACCUCCUUUUCAAAGGAUGCUUCAGAGGCUGAACAUCAUGAUUGUCUCGGAUCCAGUUCUCAAUUCAUCAGUAAAUCUCUUAGAAGAGGUUAUUUUUAGACACUGUGCUCCAUAUGAUGCAGUUUUAGACAAGGUAACAGGUGCCACGUUUACUUUAAAUGCUACAGAAGAGUUCAAAAAAGAAGCAGUGCUGAAUGAAGAGUCUCUGAUGUUGCCUGUUGAAGUUCAUAUGAACUGCUUUCCAAGACAAGAGCCCAAUUAUUCCUUUGCACAAGUGCAAGAUUUUCUAAAUGUCACCCGUGAACCAAUAGAAGAAUGUUUCCCUUUAAAAGAUCUUCUCAAAGAAGUCACCACUGCUGAUAAACACACAGCUGAGUUGGAGGUCCUGGAAAUGCCUGAAAGCUGCUUUGCUAACAUCACCUUCAAGGAGCCACAAUCUCCAGUUGCUUCGAGGUCUUAUGCUGAGAUGGAAUUAGACCUGCUUCUUUCACCAUCUGGUCAUACGCUGUGUCUACCAGACCUGUGUAUGUCCAGCAGACUGUCAGCUGAGAUUCUGUCACCAGUUUAUAAGCAGCAUUUCAUGACAGACAGUGAUUGUGAAAAUAUGGAAAAAGCUGUUUGGAUGGCAGAGAAACAUCCCCA